CACGUAGGCGGCUUGUUAAGUCUGGGGUGAAAUCUCCCGGCUCAACCGGGAGGGGUCCUCGGAUACUGGCAGGCUGGAGGGGAGCAGAGGAGAGCGGAAUUCCCGGUGUAGUGGUGAAAUGCGUAGAUAUCGGGAGGAACACCAGUGGCGAAGGCGGCUCUCUGGGCUCUACCUGACGCUGAGGUGCGAAAGCAUGGGGAGCGAACCGGAUUAGAUACCCGGGUAGUCCACGCUGUAAACGAUGGACACUAGGUGUGGGGGGUAUCGACCCCCUCCGUGCCGAAGCUAACGCUAUAAGUGUCCCGCCUGGGGAGUACGGCCGCAAGGCUAAA
RNAcentral lists this ribosomal RNA (332 nucleotides) under uncultured bacterium. RNAcentral describes it as "bacterial SSU rRNA". It matches the Rfam family "Bacterial small subunit ribosomal RNA", at positions 568 to 898 of the family's 1533-position model. The record is from RNAcentral.